Molecule: long non-coding RNA, 408 nt
Organism: Oncorhynchus tshawytscha (Chinook salmon)
Lineage: Eukaryota; Metazoa; Chordata; Actinopteri; Salmoniformes; Salmonidae
Source: Ensembl
AACAAAUCAUCCACAGGCAGAGAGAAUGAGUAGACAGUUGUUUUAGUUCAAUAUUGUCAGACACAGACAGACAAGUCAAUGGAGAAUUCUGACAUAUCAGAACAUGUGUUGAAAGGAUUCAAGGGAACAUAUAAUGAGCUGAUAUGUCAGGAUGAUUUCAGCACAGAUGGACAUCCUCUCCAUAACAGACAAGACCAACAACAAGUGUCCAUGUUCAUGGUGAGAGAUGGGCAGAGUUCUCGAUUCUACUGAUUGGUUGCAGUGAGUCUGGGCAUUCUCAGUGCUCUUCUACUGGUCAUUGAUAUUGGUCUGGUGGUCCAAUACAGCAAAGUCAGUGAGAAUGACAGUCCACUAUUUCAGAAUUUGACACAGAGCAGCAGUGAGCUGGAGCAACUCAGAGCCACCCAC